RNAcentral lists this ribosomal RNA (253 nucleotides) under uncultured bacterium. Its description in RNAcentral is "partial 16S ribosomal RNA". It matches the Rfam family "Bacterial small subunit ribosomal RNA", at positions 524 to 776 of the family's 1533-position model. The record is from RNAcentral.
UACGGAGGGGGCUAGCGUUGUUCGGAAUUACUGGGCGUAAAGCGCACGUAGGCGGCUUUGCAAGUUAGAGGUGAAAGCCCGGGGCUCAACUCCGGAAUUGCCUUUAAAACUGCAUCGCUAGAAUUGUGGAGAGGUAAGUGGAAUUCCGAGUGUAGAGGUGAAAUUCGUAGAUAUUCGGAAGAACACCAGUGGCGAAGGCGACUUACUGGACACAUAUUGACGCUGAGGUACGAAAGCGUGGGGAGCAAACAGG